RNAcentral lists this long non-coding RNA (257 nucleotides) under Lathyrus oleraceus (garden pea). Its description in RNAcentral is "Pisum sativum (pea) long non-coding RNA (PSAT_LNC024839)". The record is from RNAcentral. Lineage: Eukaryota; Viridiplantae; Streptophyta; Magnoliopsida; Fabales; Fabaceae.
ACACAAAUCCACCUCCCUACUCACUGUUCAUCUUCGUUUUUCUCCACCCAAAAACUCCAUCUGCCACUGUGAACACACUAAAUUCACCACCUUGCUCUUCCUCUCCGUUUCAUUUCAAUAUUUAAUACACUAAUCCCUCCGCCCACCAUAACUAAAGGCAACCAUCUCCUAACUCCUUAACCGUUAAAAUUGAAUCGCAUAAUCAGACCUACAUGUCACUCAUGAUCAUUCUGUCGUUGAUGCAACACUAAUCACCG